CAGUAGCCGCGGUAAUACGAAGGGGGCUAGCGUUGUUCGGAAUUACUGGGCGUAAAGCGCACGUAGGCUGACAUUUAAGUCAGGGGUGAAAUCCCGGGGCUCAACCUCGGAACUGCCUUUGAUACUGGGUGCCUUGAGUGUGGAAGAGGUAAGUGGAAUUGCGAGUGUAGAGGUGAAAUUCGUAGAUAUUCGCAGGAACACCAGUGGCGAAGGCGGCUUACUGGUCCACAACUGACGCUGAGGUGCGAAAGCGUGGGGAGCAAACAGGAUUAGAUACCCCUGUAGUCCCUGUCUCUUAUAC
RNAcentral lists this ribosomal RNA (301 nucleotides) under uncultured bacterium. RNAcentral describes it as "partial 16S ribosomal RNA". It matches the Rfam family "Bacterial small subunit ribosomal RNA", at positions 509 to 807 of the family's 1533-position model. The record is from RNAcentral.